This 292-nucleotide ribosomal RNA is filed under the name uncultured bacterium. RNAcentral's name for it is "partial 16S ribosomal RNA". It matches the Rfam family "Bacterial small subunit ribosomal RNA", at positions 505 to 796 of the family's 1533-position model. The record is from RNAcentral.
GUGCCAGCAGCCGCGGUAAUACAGAGGGUGCAAGCGUUAAUCGGAAUUACUGGGCGUAAAGGGCGCGUAGGCGGAUUGAUAAGUUAGAUGUGAAAUCCCUGGGCUUAACCUGGGAACGGCAUUUAAUACUGUCAGUCUAGAGUAGAGUAGAGGGAAGUGGAAUUUCCGGUGUAGCGGUGAAAUGCGUAGAGAUCGGAAAGAACACCAGUGGCGAAGGCGGCUUCCUGGACUCAUACUGACGCUGAGGCGCGAAAGCGUGGGGAGCAAACAGGAUUAGAAACCCUCGUAGUCC